This 285-nucleotide long non-coding RNA is filed under the name Mytilus galloprovincialis (Mediterranean mussel). Lineage: Eukaryota; Metazoa; Mollusca; Bivalvia; Mytilida; Mytilidae. The record is from RNAcentral.
AAAUUAGAGUUUUGACCCCAAUUUUACGGUUCACUGAACAUAGAAAAUGAUAGUGCAAAUUUCAGGUUAAAGUUUUUGGCUUCAGGUUAAAGUUUUUGGUCAAGGUAGUUUUUGAUGAAGUUGAAGUCCAAACAACUUGAAACUUAGUAUACAUGUGCCCUAUGAUAUGAUCUUUCUAAUUUAAAUGCCAAAUUAGAGUUUUGACCCCAAUUUUACGGUUCACUGAACAUAGAAAAUGAUAGUGCAAAUUUCAGGUUAAAGUUUUUGGCUUCAGGUUUAAAGUUU